CUCCUUUUCUCCUUUUUGCUUUCUGUUUCAUGAGGUAGCCAAGACCAAGUAGGGAUUUUUUUUUUAGUUGGGUUACAAAACAAUUAAAAAAAAGAGAAAAAAAAAUUUACUUUAAAGAGGCGUCGCCUCAAUGUCUCAAAGCCCCUCGCCUCGCCUGCUGGAGAAGCUUGCCUUAUUGACGGCUAGCUAGGCAGUAGCGCCUCACCUUGGCGCCUCUGGCGCCUUUAACAACACUGAUCUGACCUUGGUUUUGUUCGAGAUCAAAUCUUAACUGGUUUUGUUAUUCCUUCUUUGGAAGAUGUCUCUGCUCAAUUGUUGUGCAUUUCUUUAAGUGCAUUUGAAACUAAUAAAAUUAAGCAUCCAUUUUAGCUAUGCAAACUAAAAAUAUCAGCAUGGACAUGGCGAUUUCUGAAAAAGGAAAGGAAAAUGCUCUAAAUCACAUUGUACCUACUGUGACAAAAGUGGCCACACUCACGAUACUUGUUGGGCUUUGCAUGGCUCUAAAUCCCAUUAUACCUAUUGUGACAAAAGUGGCCACACCUGAGAUACUUGUUAGGCACUGCAUGGUCGACCACCAUGCAUCAAUCAAUCCAACACAAGCAAACCCACAACUCAUGUGGCUCAAACCCAUGGUGAUGGACUACUUCCAUUACCAGAUGCAAAAGAUCAACAGUCCAAUUCCAUUGUCUUAACUGGAGUUGAAUACAAUGAGUACUUACAGUAUCAAGCUGCUAAACAACAGUCAUCCUCAUCUG
RNAcentral lists this unclassified non-coding RNA (755 nucleotides) under Hevea brasiliensis (rubber tree). The record is from RNAcentral. Lineage: Eukaryota; Viridiplantae; Streptophyta; Magnoliopsida; Malpighiales; Euphorbiaceae.